AGGACGGAAGGGAGAAGGGCGUGGUUUCCAGCAUCCCCCACUCCUCUCCUCCCGUCUUCU
Molecule: microRNA precursor, 60 nt
Filed under: Dasypus novemcinctus (nine-banded armadillo)
Lineage: Eukaryota; Metazoa; Chordata; Mammalia; Cingulata; Dasypodidae
Description: microRNA dno-mir-483 precursor
Gene: dno-mir-483
Source: miRBase by way of RNAcentral